GGAAAAGUCGUAACAAGGUCUCCGUAGGUGAACCUGCGGAGGGAUCAUUACAGAGUUCAUGCCCUACCGGGUAGAUCUCCCACCCUAUGUUAUUAUUACUUUGUUGCUUUGGCGGGCCGUUAGGCUCCGGCCCGACUACCGGCCCCGGCUGGUAAGCGCCCGCCAGAGGACCCAAAACCCUGAAUAUUAGUGUCGUCUGAGUACUAUAUAAUAGUUAAAACUUUCAACAACGGAUCUCUUGGUUCUG
RNAcentral lists this unclassified non-coding RNA (247 nucleotides) under plant metagenome. RNAcentral describes it as "partial contains small subunit ribosomal RNA, internal transcribed spacer 1, and 5.8S ribosomal RNA". The stretch from base 1 to 50 matches the Rfam family "Eukaryotic small subunit ribosomal RNA", at positions 1782 to 1831 of the family's 1831-position model. The record is from RNAcentral.